Non-coding RNA from Lyngbya majuscula, 169 nucleotides. The record is from Rfam. NCBI's taxonomy places the organism in Bacteria, Bacillati, Cyanobacteriota, Cyanophyceae, Oscillatoriales, Microcoleaceae.
AAUUGAAGAAGGCUUGCGCUGAAGACAGCAGGAGUAACUAGCUUAAUAUCCUGCCGAGGUUAAAGUACUAUGUAUCAUCUGCCCAGGCACUGAUCCUACAGUGAGUUCUAUAGCGGUAAUGAUACGACCCUUAACCCCGGCCAAGUCUCCGGGGUUUUAGUUUGGUUAU